Molecule: long non-coding RNA, 1249 nt
Filed under: Sus scrofa (pig)
Lineage: Eukaryota; Metazoa; Chordata; Mammalia; Artiodactyla; Suidae
Description: lncRNA (ENSSSCG00005017734.1)
Source: RNAcentral
AGCCAUAAAGCAGACUGUUGUGAGGAAUAAACAAGUGAUAAGAAGACACCUGGCCCGUCUUCAGGCUGUAGAUUCUGAAAUAUGAAUGAAGGGAUGUGAAAGUGAUGGGCUCUAUCCUUACACCCAGCCCCAGUGGGAGCCUGGGCAGGGAGUGGGAGGAUGAGAAACGUCUUCAUUUUACACAACAAAGUGCUUCUCCAAGCUUCUGUACCUACUGUAUCUGUCAACAUUUCUGGAGGAUAGGGCUUUGUGAUUUGCAUUUUAUUUUAUUUUUGUAUUGAAGUAUAGUUGAUUUACAAUGUUAUGUUAAUUUCUGCUGUGAUUCAAUUAUGCAUAUAUGGUUAUAUAUAUACGCUCUUAAAAUAUUCUUUUCCAUUAUGGUUUAUCAAAGGACAUUAAAUACAGUUCUCUGUGCUAUACAGUAAGACCUUGUUGAUUAACCCAUUCAUGUAUAAUAGCUUAAACUUCUAACCCCAACCUCUCAGUCCGUCCCUCCCACAACUCCCUCCCCCUAGGCAACCACAAGUUUUUUUUUGCUACAUCAAUGAGUCUCUUUCUGAUUCACAGAUAGGUUCUUUUCUGUCAUUUCUUAGAUUCUACAGAUAAGUGAUAUCAUAUAUUUGUCUUUCUCUUGCUGACUCGCUUAAUAUGAGCCCUCUAGUUGUAUCCAUGUUACUGUGAAUGGCAUUCUUUCUUUUUUAUGGCUGAGUAGUAUUCCCUUGUAUAUAUAUUAUACAUCUUUAUGUGAUCUGAAUUUUUUUUUUGUCUUUUUAGGCCCACACUCGAGGCAUAUGGAGGUUCCCAGCCUAGGGGUCCAAUCAGAGCUGUAGCUGCCAGCCUACACCAUAGCCACAGCAACAUGGGAUCCAAGCUGCAUCUGCAACCUACACCACAGUUCACAGCAAUGCCAGAUCCAUAACCCACUGACUGGGGCCAGAGAUCAAAACCGAGUUCUCAUGGAUGCUAGUUGGGUUCGUUAAUCACUGAGCCACGACGUAAACUCCUAUGAUCUGAAUUUUAAAUCAACCAGAUGUGGAGUUCCCCUUGUGGCUCAGCAGAAACAAACCCGACUAGUACCCAUGAGGAUUCAGGUUCAAUCCCUGGCCCUAUCAAUGGGUUCAGGAUCCAGCAUUGCUGAGAGCUGUGGUAUAGGUUGUAGACGUGGCUUGGAUCUGGUGUUGCUGUGGCUGUGGCAUAGGCUGGCAGUUGAAGCUCUAAUUCAACCCCUAACCUGGGAACUUCCAUAUGC